Molecule: ribosomal RNA, 478 nt
Filed under: uncultured Planctomycetales bacterium
Lineage: Bacteria; Pseudomonadati; Planctomycetota; Planctomycetia; Planctomycetales
Description: bacterial SSU rRNA
Rfam family: Bacterial small subunit ribosomal RNA
Source: RNAcentral
UUUCGCAAUGCCCGAAAGGGUGACGAAGCGACGCCGCGUGCGGGAAGAAGGCCUUCGGGUUGUAAACCGCUGUCGGGAGUUAAGAAAUGUAAGGAUGUUAAUGGCAUCUUUGCUUGACUAAGGCUCCGGAGGAAGCCACGGCUAACUCUGUGCCAGCAGCCGCGGUAAUACAGAGGCGGCAAGCGUUGUUCGGAAUUAUUGGGCGUAAAGAGCACGUAGGCGGCUAUGUAAGUCGGUUGUGAAAGCCUUCCGCUCAACGGGAGAACAGCAUCCGAUACUGCAUGGCUUGAGUGCGGGAGGGGAGAGUGGAACUUCUGGUGGAGCGGUGAAAUGCGUAGAUAUCAGAAGGAACGCCGGCGGCGAAAGCGACUCUCUGGCCCGUAACUGACGCUGAGUGUGCGAAAGCUAGGGGAGCAAACGGGAUUAGAUACCCCGGUAGUCCUAGCCGUAAACGAUGGGCACUAAGUAGAGGGGUUUU